AUUGAACGCUGGCGGCAUGCCUUACACAUGCAAGUCGAACGGCAGCACGGGAGCAAUCCUGGUGGCGAGUGGCGAACGGGUGAGUAAUAUAUCGGAACGUGCCCAGUCGUGGGGGAUAACGCAGCGAAAGCUGUGCUAAUACCGCAUACGAUCUACGGAUGAAAGCGGGGGAUCGCAAGACCUCGCGCGAUUGGAGCGGCUGAUAUCAGAUUAGCUAGUUGGUGAGGUAAAGGCUCACCAAGGCGACGAUCUGUAGCUGGUCUGAGAGGACGACCAGCCACACUGGAACUGAGACACGGUCCAGACUCCUACGGGAGGCAGCAGUGGGGAAUUUUGGACAAUGGCGCAAGCCUGAUCCAGCAAUGCCGCGUGCAGGAUGAAGGCCUUCGGGUUGUAAACUGCUUUUGUACGGAGCGAAACGGUCUUUCCUAAUACGAGAGGCUAAUGACGGUACCGUAAGAAUAAGCACCGGCUAACUACGUGCCAGCAGCCGCCGUAA
RNAcentral lists this ribosomal RNA (499 nucleotides) under uncultured bacterium. RNAcentral describes it as "partial 16S ribosomal RNA". It matches the Rfam family "Bacterial small subunit ribosomal RNA", at positions 30 to 523 of the family's 1533-position model. The record is from RNAcentral.